UACAGAGGGGGCAAGCGUUGUUCGGAAUUACUGGGCGUAAAGGGCGCGUAGGCGGCCUGUUAAGUCGAACGUGAAAUCCCCGGGCUCAACCCGGGAACUGCGUCCGAUACUGGCAGGCUUGAAUUCGGGAGAGGGAUGUGGAAUUCCAGGUGUAGCGGUGAAAUGCGUAGAUAUCUGGAGGAACACCGGUGGCGAAGGCGGUUGCCUGGGGCUUUGCUGACGCUGAUGCGCGAAAGCGUGGGGAGCGAUCCGG
This 253-nucleotide ribosomal RNA is filed under the name uncultured bacterium. Its description in RNAcentral is "partial 16S ribosomal RNA". It matches the Rfam family "Bacterial small subunit ribosomal RNA", at positions 524 to 776 of the family's 1533-position model. The record is from RNAcentral.